RNAcentral lists this ribosomal RNA (420 nucleotides) under Sordariomycetes sp. E7019a. Its description in RNAcentral is "eukaryotic LSU rRNA". The stretch from base 112 to 265 matches the Rfam family "5.8S ribosomal RNA". Lineage: Eukaryota; Fungi; Ascomycota; Sordariomycetes. The record is from RNAcentral.
UUCGGCGGGAUUGCCCCGGGCGCCUCGUGUGCCCCGGAUCAGGCGCCCGCCUAGGAACUUUAACUCUUGUUUUAUUUUGAAUCUUCUGAGUAGUUUUUACAAAUAAAUAAAAACUUUCAACAACGGAUCUCUUGGUUCUGGCAUCGAUGAAGAACGCAGCGAAAUGCGAUAAGUAAUGUGAAUUGCAGAAUUCAGUGAAUCAUCGAAUCUUUGAACGCACAUUGCGCCCGCCAGUAUUCUGGCGGGCAUGCCUGUCUGAGCGUCAUUUCAACCCUCAUGCCCCUAGGGCGUGGUGUUGGGGAUCGGCCAAAGCCCGCGAGGGACGGCCGGCCCCUAAAUCUAGUGGCGGACCCGUCGUGGCCUCCUCUGCGAAGUAGUGAUAUUCCGCAUCGGAGAGCGAUGAGCCCCUGCCGUUAAACC